RNAcentral lists this ribosomal RNA (305 nucleotides) under uncultured bacterium. Its description in RNAcentral is "bacterial SSU rRNA". It matches the Rfam family "Bacterial small subunit ribosomal RNA", at positions 335 to 638 of the family's 1533-position model. The record is from RNAcentral.
GUUCUACGAGACGCAGCAGUGAGGAAUAUUGGUCAAUGGGCGGAAGCCUGAACCAGCCAAGUCGCGUGAGGGAAUAAGGCCCUACGGGUCGUAAACCUCUUUUGCCGGGGAGCAAGGGCCGGGACGCGUCCCGGCCCGGAGAGUACCCGGAGAAAAAGCAUCGGCUAACUCCGUGCCAGCAGCCGCGGUAAUACGGAGGAUGCGAGCGUUAUCCGGAUUUAUUGGGUUUAAAGGGUGCGUAGGCGGGCUUUUAAGUCAGCGGUAAAAAUUCGGGGCUCAACCCCGUCCGGCCGUUGCAACUGGGG